RNAcentral lists this ribosomal RNA (433 nucleotides) under uncultured bacterium. Its description in RNAcentral is "partial 16S ribosomal RNA". It matches the Rfam family "Bacterial small subunit ribosomal RNA", at positions 29 to 507 of the family's 1533-position model. The record is from RNAcentral.
AACGAACGCUGGCGGCAGGCCUAACACAUGCAAGUCGAACGAGACCUUCGUGUCUAGUGGCGCACGGGUGCGUAACGCGUGGGAACCUGCCCUUAUGUUCGGGAUAACUCCCCGAAAUGGGUGCUAAUACCGGAUAAUGUCUUCUGACCAAAGAUUUAUCGCCUUUGGAUGGGCCCGCGUUGUAUUAGCUAGUUGGUAGGGUAAAAGCCUACCAAGGCUACGAUCCAUAGCUGGUCUGAGAGGAUGAUCAGCCACACUGGGACUGAGACACGGCCCAGACUACUACGGGAGGCAGCAGUGGGGAAUCUUGGACAACGGGCGAGAGGCUGAUCCAGCAAUGCCGCGUGAGUGAUGAAGGCCUUAGGGUUGUAAAGCUCUUUUACCCGGGAUGAUAAUGACAGUACCGGGAGAAUAAGCUCCGGCUAACUCCGUG